UUUCAUAGAAAAGUAAUUGGUGCCAGCAUGGAAGAAGUUUUUUCAUGAGGGUUAAAAGGGAAACAGGUGUGAAUCCUGUACGAACUCGUCACUGUGAUUAGGGAGUGCAGCUAUUAAGAAGUUUCAACCACUGAUGUAGUUACAUUGGGAAGGGAAUAGCUGUAUGAUGAUCUUUCAGCCAGGAAACCUGCCAGUUAUUUGGUACAAGA
RNAcentral lists this non-coding RNA (209 nucleotides) under Roseburia sp. Lineage: Bacteria; Bacillati; Bacillota; Clostridia; Lachnospirales; Lachnospiraceae. The record is from RNAcentral.